GGUAUUACGGUCAUGUUGGGCAGCAUUGUAAUUUCCCAUGUUUGCAGAUAGCUAAUGUGUCUGAGAAAAAGAGAAUAAUUAUGGCUUCUGAAAUAUAAAUUUGGCAUUUUACUCUGUCACAUGUAUUUUCCAUCAUUUCACCGAACACAUGUAACGAGGGCUUAUGGCUUCGGCCCAAAUUCCGGUAAAAAUUAGAAGCAGCUGGUUAAGAACCUCGCUUGGUCCCUGACAACAUGGAAGUUACAACUUUCCUUACAUGUUGCCCAUCAUGACAUGACAUCCAUCCAUGACAUCCAUCCAUCCAUCCAUCCAUCCAUGUACAUCGAUCAUGUUCCACGCUUAUCUCAUGGACACUUCUAAUGACCUCUGGUCCUAAUCUUGUUGACUCACCCCAAAAAGGAGCUAAUUGUUUUUCUUUUAAUCUGUUUUGUUUUUAUCUUCAAGUUUUGUUCAUCGGAUUGCUCAGUUUUAAACC
Non-coding RNA from Prunus mume (Japanese apricot), 475 nucleotides. The record is from RefSeq and is a predicted model, not a curated record. NCBI's taxonomy places the organism in Eukaryota, Viridiplantae, Streptophyta, Magnoliopsida, Rosales, Rosaceae.